UGUCACCUGCUCUCAUGGCAGAAGUGGCCAUCAUCUGCCUUACCCUGAGAAACCACUUCCUGUGAAGCCAGUCACCAGUGCUCCUGGAGCGAUGCAUGUUCAGACACCGCGUGUCCUGCCAGCUCCUGCCCACUGCUGCAAAUGGGAUGAAGGUGGUGGCGAGGCUGCUGUGAGGGCAGCAACAGCCACUGAGGUCUCACUGAGAACAGUGCAGAAGGCACUUACGGAGAUUGCCCUGGUAGCAUAUCUUCAUAGGAAAUAACUUUUUGUGAUAAAGCAGGAAUAGAGAAAGAGCACAAAUUUGGUCUGGAGGAUUUUUAUAUUUUUAGCUCAGCCUUGUUUUGGCUCAGAGUCCUGGAAGCGUGAUGAGCAGGGAGUGGAGCAGCCCCCGCUCAGCUUCCACUUCCCAGCCUCCACAAAACCUCCUGGGUAAGCAGGAGGUCCCAGCCACAGAGAAACACUUCUGAAGUCACAUCAUCUUCAGAGAACAUUUCCUGUUGCCAUGCCACUACUUAUCUCCCUGCAAUUCCUGGAUCUUUAAUAGGAAUCAGGUGUUCUGAAUAGAGUCCCACAGGCUGCCUUUUUCAUGGUUGCAUUGAUUUCUAACAACUAAAUUAGCCCCAGGAAAGCAUAAUGGAAUCAGCAGGUUUCCAGGUCUCUCUUUCCCCUUUACAGAAGAGCAUCCCUUUCAAACAUGAAGCACAGCAAGUCCAAAACAGCACCUUUCCCUCUUUUGCUUGGGCAUCAGAGUGCAGUGAUGAAGAGACAAAUGGAGCCGGUCCCCAGAGCUAAGCUGCAAAACCACAGCCUUCAGCAAAGCCCUUCGAGCCCAUCUGUCCCCCAGCAGAGUUACUGCCCCUCUCUUUUGACUCAGGUCUGGAAACGUCAAGAGCUGUACUGAGUCAUCUUUGCAGAAUUCACCUGUGAUAGCCACGUAUUCUGUGGACACCUUGGCUGUGAGCUCUGCCAGCAUCACUUCCCACUGGAGACAGUGCUGGUGUGUUUGAACUUUGUACGGAAAAGGAAGGUUGUGGGUGCUUGAAGGCAAAAGCCUGGAGAAUUAAUUAUCUCAAGAGGCACUGGACUGGACUGGAUUGGGAUUAACCUUCAUUGAGUAGUUUCCCCCCCUCUGGAUAUUUCAAAAUUUACUAAGAAACACCAGCUCCCACUGGCACUGUCUUGAAGGUCUUGAGAUGUCAGACCUCACCCCUACCCCAUUUGUUUGCAGAUUUAAGGAGGUGCUUUGUCUUGACUAAUCC
Molecule: long non-coding RNA, 1259 nt
Filed under: Numida meleagris (helmeted guineafowl)
Lineage: Eukaryota; Metazoa; Chordata; Aves; Galliformes; Numididae
Description: lncRNA (ENSNMEG00000007753.1)
Source: RNAcentral